This 301-nucleotide ribosomal RNA is filed under the name uncultured bacterium. Its description in RNAcentral is "partial 16S ribosomal RNA". It matches the Rfam family "Bacterial small subunit ribosomal RNA", at positions 509 to 809 of the family's 1533-position model. The record is from RNAcentral.
CAGCAGCCGCGGUAACACGUAGGGUGCAAGCGUUAUCCGGAAUUAUUGGGCGUAAAGAGCUCGUAGGCGGUUUGUCGCGUCUGCUGUGAAAACUGGAGGCUCAACCUCCAGCCUGCAGUGGGUACGGGCAGACUAGAGUGCGGUAGGGGAGAUUGGAAUUCCUGGUGUAGCGGUGGAAUGCGGAGAUAUCAGGAGGAACACCGAUGGCGAAGGCAGAUCUCUGGGUCGUAACUGACGCUGAGGAGCGAAAGCGUGGGGAGCGAACAGGAUUAGAUACCCGAGUAGUCCCUGUCUCUUAUAA